Molecule: ribosomal RNA, 303 nt
Filed under: uncultured bacterium
Lineage: Bacteria
Description: partial 16S ribosomal RNA
Rfam family: Bacterial small subunit ribosomal RNA
Source: RNAcentral
AGCAGUCGCCACGGUAAUACGUAGGUGGCAAGCGUUGUCCGGAAUUAUUGGGCGUAAAGCGCGCGCAGGCGGAUAGGUCAGUCUGUCUUAAAAGUUCGGGGCUUAACCCCGUGAUGGGAUGGAAACUGCCAACCUAGAGUAUCGGAGAGGAAAGUGGAAUUCCUAGUGUAGCGGUGAAAUGCGUAGAGAUUAGGAGGAACACCAGUGGCGAAGGCGACUUUCUGGACGAAAACUGACGCUGAGGCGCGAAAGCCAGGGGAGCGAACGGGAUUAGAUACCCGCGUAGUCCCUGUCUCUUAUACA